AUGCUUAUGACUUUGAUGAUUUAAAUAUGUUCCUCAUAAAUCAUCAUUAAAGAAUAUAUUUUCUUGACUUUCAUGAUUUAGUAGCAUUGUCAAAACAUUGCCAUUAUUUUUGUACAUAAACCAUUGAGACAACAUAAAUAUUUAUUAUAGAUACAUUUCACUUGCAUUGAUUUAUUUUAAAGAACAUUGUCAAUAUCUUUUCAUUUGACCAUGUAACCAUUGUCAAUAUUUUUCAUUUGAUUAUUUAACCUGAUGGGAUAAACUAAGUAUAUUUGUAUACGAGCAUUUUUCAUGGCUGCUCAUUCCUUUGUAAAAUUAAUAUUGAAAGCAUUCUUUUGAUAAAUUGAGAAUUUACUUUGAAAUUUUGUGUAAAGAAACACUUGCUUUUUGAGUAAUGUUGACAACUAUGAGUAUUGUCUACACAGACAAAUAUUUUUUCAAAUAUUGUAAGGUCAAAUGAGACCAUAUAUUAGUCUCAUCAAAUUUUUUGAUGGCAUGAUAAGACAUGUGCCAGAGAUUAUAGCACACAUUGUACAUUUGUAUGGAUUAUUUCUCUCUCAAAAGAUGUGACUAUACAUAUAAUAUUAUUAUUACUUAAAUUUCAAAAGAUUUUUACAAAAUCUUUUUUUUUUUGAGGGAAAGGGCGUAAUGUCACAGUCUUAGUUGACAUUGCAUGAUCUAAAGUUCACAUCAUGUUAAUAGUUUAAAAGACACGUGGAAUUCCUAAUGUAGAAAACAGGAAGUAGAAUGAAUAAAGUUGACUUUGAAGUCAGUCAGUCAGUCAGUCAAGUAAAGCAGUCAAGUGAAGUCAAGUUAGAAGUCAAGUGUUAUUCUUUGGACCGAGUGGUCAAGUAUAUUUUAGUCCGGGAUGGACAGUAGCGACUUAGAAAAGUCUGUAGUAAUUUCAGUUAGAAAGUAACUUGUGGGCAGUUGUUGCCAGUGGUCUUUUGAGACAUGUAUUAGUUAAUCUAUAUUUCUACACAGUGUUGCCCGCUGAGAUGCGGACAUGAUUUGUUGUUAACGUAUUGGAUACUUUUGAUACCGCUGUUAUGCGGAUAGGAUUAUUAUUUCUUGACUUGUAGCACUAACAAGGAGUGCAGUAUAUUAUUAUUAUUAUAGUAAAAUAAACUUCAUGUUGUCUGCUGAACGGACUUGAGUCAGUCGUAUAGUGUUUGUCUUGUCACGUGUCUAGAGUACUUCAGGAAGUAAGAACUCAAUAUUACACCAUUCAACGUUCAUUGACAGACCCCCUCCCUCCCAACCAUUUCCUCUGCCUUAUCUUGAUGACUUUGACUUUAAUUAGACAUUAAGCUUUCCAUGUGCUGAAAUUUAGCAUUGUAGAACGGGAAAUAAAUUGUCUAUGACAGUUCAAAGUGUGUAUACAUUUUUUUUGACGCACCCUGUAAAUAUAUUGUAUUCAGUGAUUUUUUUAUUUUACCAUUUUCUAAUAUUAGUUUGUUAGCUUCAAUAACUAUUAACCUUUUAGAUUGUUAUCUUUCUUAAUGUUAAGACUAGAAAACAAGAUCUCAAAAUUAUAUUUAGGACGAUGAUUACAAUUACUUAGUCAAUUACUUAGAUAAAAUAAUUAUAAAACAAAAGUUAUAUAAAGACAUAAUUAUACAAUGUUUAUAUUUUGUAUGUUCAUAAAAAUGUGUAUAGCAGUGUUAUGGAGUGUGUGUGUGUGGGUGUUUCCAAGGUAACGUUGAGAAAUUAGCGAUUGUUAGAUUUUGUUUAAAAUACCAUUUUAUAUUAUUGCUACUAGAUUUAUUUCAUUUCAUCUAGGUUAGUAUUAGGGUUAGUGUUAUGUUGUAAUAAAAGUUAUAUUUAGUUUUGUUUCAAAAAAGAAGUUUUUUCAAGUUUCAUAUUAAAUAUAUAUAUAUAUAUAUCCAAGCAGUAGUUCUCACCAAACUUUCAUACACUGGCAGAACUACCUUAAAAAAAUGUUCUGCUGGAGGCUGGUGUGGGUAGUAUAGAAGAAAUACUUAUUCAACAGCUGUGAUGGGUUGGAAAAUUAUCCCACAUGGGGGGCGACUGCAUGUCAAAUGGUAUCUUCAAGGAUGGCGUAACGGGGUACUCCUGUAAGCACUAUAAAGAUUAACUCAGGCACCUUUUUGCCAUAGAGGAAAGUAGGUUGUAAUAGGGUUUAUGAAAACACUGCACUCAUCUUUUAUCUUCAGCAUCAUUAUUAUUAUUAAACCAUUACUCAAAUUUUGCUUUGUUAUUUUGCCAUGUAGCGAUUUACUGCUGCUGGGGUGAACAAUGCUUAAAAAAAUAAAAAUAUGCUGUGUUUUUACUUUGGCCCAGCGGUGGCUCCCACAUUUAUGUCUUUUGUAUUUUUCUAUACCAGUUCUGUUACUAUGCAAAUGCAAAAAAAAAAAUGCAAGUUGUUGCACUAUUGAUAUUUUUUAUACUAAUUUUUUAUAUAUAUUAUUAAUUAUUUAUUAUUAUCUAAGCAUCUGUUUGUAUUUGAGCUGGGUAAUGAAUAUAGAUUCUUAAAUUUAAUUGUUGUUUGUUGCUUUAGUCACUUUUAAACUGUGACCAUGUAAAUUUUGUCUAGAUGGAGAAUGGUAAUGUCUUAGUGUUAAUGAUUAGAUUAAGAAUGUUAAUGUCUUAGUGUCAAUGAUAACAGUGAGAAUGGUAAUGUCUUAGUGUCAAUGAUAACAGUGAGAAUGGUAAUGUCUUAGUGUCAAUGAUAACAGUGAGAAUGGUAAUGUCUUAGUGCCAAUGAUAACACUGAGACAAUCAUUAGAUUGAGGAUGGUAAUGUCUUAGUGUCAAUGGUGUAACAUUAGAGUGAGAUGCACGAGAUGAUUUCAGUUCACGUGAAAAUGGGUCUUACACAUUGUCGAGCAAAGAGGUACCAUUUUUGAUCACAUGACCACGAUUUUUUAGUAAGUUAGCACCAUGAUGUAUCAAGAGACGUAGGUGUCUCUGUUUUAUGAAAUUGGAUUAAAUAAUAUGAGUACCUAAUUGGAGAUAUUUCUAAGGAUGUAGUUUGUAUUUGAUGUGAAAUAAUUCGUGAUGAUAUUUUAUGGCUGAGAUUGCCUACUUUAUGAACUAUUAUUUGAUGUAAUAAAUAUUUGUCUGCCA
This is a long non-coding RNA of Biomphalaria glabrata, 3089 nucleotides long. RefSeq lists it as uncharacterized. Lineage: Eukaryota; Metazoa; Mollusca; Gastropoda; Planorbidae. The record is from RefSeq and is a predicted model, not a curated record. The transcript has 2 exons.